Molecule: ribosomal RNA, 444 nt
Filed under: uncultured bacterium
Lineage: Bacteria
Description: bacterial SSU rRNA
Rfam family: Bacterial small subunit ribosomal RNA
Source: RNAcentral
CCUACGGGGGGCUGCAAUUAGGAAUCUUGCGCAAUGGGCGAAAGCCUGACGCAGCGACGCCGCGUGACUGAUGAAGUCCUUCGGGAUGUAAAAGUCUUUUGCAAAGGAAGAAGAAUGUGACGGUACUUUGCGAAUAAGCUCCGGCUAACUACGUGCCAGCAGCCGCGGUAAUACGUAGGGAGCGAGCGUUGUCCGAAUUUACUGGGCGUAAAGCGCACGUAGGCGGACUAUUAAGUUGGUGGUGAAAUGCCGAGGCUCAACCUCGGAACUGCCUCCAAAACUGUUAGUCUUGAGGUAUGGAGAGGGAACUGGAAUUCCAGGUGUAGCGGUGAAAUGCGUAGAUAUCUGGAGGAACACCCAUGGCGAAGGCAGGUUCCUGGCCAUAUCCUGACGCUGAGGUGCGAAAGCUAGGGGAGCGAACGGGAUUAGAUACCCCGGUAGUCG